This 468-nucleotide ribosomal RNA is filed under the name uncultured bacterium. RNAcentral describes it as "partial 16S ribosomal RNA". It matches the Rfam family "Bacterial small subunit ribosomal RNA", at positions 28 to 507 of the family's 1533-position model. The record is from RNAcentral.
GACGAACGCUGGCGGCGUGCUUAACACAUGCAAGUCGAACGGAAAGGCCCUGCUUUUGUGGGGUGCUCGAGUGGCGAACGGGUGAGUAACACGUGAGUAACCUGCCCUUGACUUUGGGAUAACUUCAGGAAACUGGGGCUAAUACCGGAUAGGAGCUCCUGCUGCAUGGUGGGGGUUGGAAAGUUUCGGCGGUUGGGGAUGGACUCGCGGCUUAUCAGCUUGUUGGUGGGGUAGUGGCUUACCAAGGCUUUGACGGGUAGCCGGCCUGAGAGGGUGACCGGCCACAUUUGGACUGAAGUACGGCCCAGACUCCUACGGGAGGCAGCAGUGGGGAAUAUUGCACAAUGGGCGGAAGCCUGAUGCAGCAACGCCGCGUGCGGGAUGACGGCCUUCGGGUUGUAAACCGCUUUCGCCUGUGACGAAGCGUGAGUGACGGUAAUGGGUAAAGAAGCACCGGCUAACUACGUG